AUGCCGAACACUUUGAAGAAACGAACCGUUAUCCGGACCUUAGUGAGCAAGAAUUGCAAGAAAUUCUUGCAAAUAAGCAUUMAGACAAGACUAGAAAGACGACAAAUUGGUCGGUAUCGACGUUCAAAGGUCAAAAUCCGGGAAGAUGUAUGGUCGGUCGACGCUUCUGGGUUUUCGUCAUUCAAUUGAAAGGCAUCUAAAUCAUCCUCCUCACAGUAAAAAUCUCAAGAUUUCAACCGAUCCAAGGUUUACUAGAUCAAACCAGAUGCUGGAUGCACAACUUGUGCACAUGAAGAAGGCGGGGAAAGCAAACGUCCAACACAAACCAGUCAUCGAAGAAGAGGAUCUCGUAAAACUUAGAAGAUCGACUGCAUUUUCGCUCAACAGUCCCGCAUCACUCCUACAAAACGUGUGGUUUCAUAUCGUCCUUUUUUUCUGUAGACGAGGAAGAGAGGGUCAGAGAAGCUUAACUAAGUCGAGUUUUAAGUUUGAAAUUGACGGAGGAGGUCGAAGGUACGUGACGAUGGCGCACGAUGAGCUCAAAAACCAUCAAGGUGGACUCUCUGACACAAGUGAAAGUUCCGAAAAGUAUGCCAGAAUGUACGAGUCAGAGUCUGUAAACGACGGCUAUAAAGCCCUCCAUCUCUAUAUGUCCAAGUUGAACCCAAAAUGCGAAGCAUUUUUCCAGUAUCCCAGAAAAACCUGGCAGCCAUGCGAUGAAGUGUGGUUUGACGCGAAACCUAUCGGUGUCAACAAACUCGACAACAUGAUGAAAACCAUAAGCGAAAUGGCAGGUUUAUCGAAGCUUUACACCAACCACUCAGUGAGAGCUACCGCAAUAACCUUGUGGUCUAAUGCAGGUGUUCCCAAUCGACACAUUAUGGCCAUAUCGGGGCACAGAAAUGAGCAGAGUUUGGCACACUACAACACACGACCUUCAACUGCACAGCUACACAACUGCAGCGAAGUCCUCUCUAGAAAUCUGGUUUCCAACUCAAAUCCCCUUUGCCUUCCGUCGUCUACUGUCACCACUUCAGUUCAGCAAGCCACCAACUUGUCUGUAACCGGAGGAGUUGUCCCCUUGAAUGCCUUGCAGUCAGUUUUUAGCAAUUGUAAUGUUGAAAACGUUCAAGUAGUUUUCCACAACGACAGCGGCCGUCGCUUUGCAAGUUGACU
Exaiptasia diaphana is the source of this 1176-nucleotide RNA transcript. RefSeq lists it as uncharacterized. Lineage: Eukaryota; Metazoa; Cnidaria; Anthozoa; Actiniaria; Aiptasiidae. The record is from RefSeq and is a predicted model, not a curated record. The transcript is spliced from 2 exons.